AAUUUUGAUAUUUAGUAUAAUUUUUUUUAAAAAAGAAACAUCAUUUAUAUUUAGUAACGGUGAAAGAAGUAAUUAUAUAUUAAUAUAUAAAGUCGUACCGUAUGGGGAAAUUAUAAAUUUCUUUUAAGUAGAAUUUUAAUUUGUACCUUUUGCAUCAUGGUUUAGCAAGAAAAUUUUUUGAAUUAGAUUUCUCGAAACCUAAGGAGCUACCUUAGUUUUGGUUUAGCCUUAGAUAAAGGUGGGUGUGGCAUAACCCUAUUUAAAAUUUAAGGUAGAAAUUAAAUGUUAUUCGUUUUAGGUGAUAGCUAGUUAUACUAUAAAGAUAUAUAAGUAUCGGAUAUAAUUUUAUUAUGUGUUUAUGUUAUAUACAUAUAAUAACUUAUUUUCUUAGCUAUGCGAGGGUAAGCUCGUAUAAAUUCAAUUUAGCUAAAAUUAUAUAUGAAUCUAGGCUUGAAAUUAGCCAUGGUUUGGAAUUUGUUAAAAAUGCAUAUAUACAUAUAAAAACUUUGUAAUAUAUUAAAUUUAUAUUAUUCAACUAUGUAAUUAAGGCAUGGUUGAUUUAUGCUAAAAUGAGUAUUAUUAUAGGCUAAAACAAAAAAUAAAUUAAAUUUUUUUAAAAAUUUUUUAUAAAUAUUAUGAAACAUAUGAUAGGAACUCGGCAAAAAUUUGACUCCGCCUGUUUAGCAAAAACAUGUCUCUUUGAAAAGUAAAGUAUAAAGAGUCUGGCCUGCCCGG
Molecule: ribosomal RNA, 735 nt
Filed under: Cyclophorus latus
Lineage: Eukaryota; Metazoa; Mollusca; Gastropoda; Architaenioglossa; Cyclophoridae
Description: partial 16S ribosomal RNA
Source: RNAcentral